AACACACCCCUAGAACACCAGUGUUCCUCAACAGCAGCUGCAGGCAGUGACCCUAAUGCUGGGACAGCCCCAGAACCCUCCCAGCAGCUGCAGGCAGUGACCCUAAUGAAAAGCCCUGCCAGCAGCAGCACCACACAGCAACCCUAACAGCGAGAGCACACCGGAACGCUCCCGCUAGGACAAGGCAGUGACCCUCACACCAGGACAACGACAGAACCCUCAGAGGACAACGGGACCCCCUGGAGAAAGGUA
Molecule: long non-coding RNA, 252 nt
Organism: Vidua chalybeata
Lineage: Eukaryota; Metazoa; Chordata; Aves; Passeriformes; Viduidae
Exons: 2
Source: RefSeq, a predicted model, not a curated record